Molecule: ribosomal RNA, 158 nt
Filed under: Coccocarpia pellita
Lineage: Eukaryota; Fungi; Ascomycota; Lecanoromycetes; Peltigerales; Coccocarpiaceae
Description: 5.8S ribosomal RNA
Rfam family: 5.8S ribosomal RNA
About the family: 5.8S ribosomal RNA (5.8S rRNA) is a component of the large subunit of the eukaryotic ribosome. It is transcribed by RNA polymerase I as part of the 45S precursor that also contains 18S and 28S rRNA.
Source: RNAcentral
AAACUUUCAACAACGGAUCUCUUGGUUCCGGCAUCGAUGAAGAACGCAGCGAAAUGCGAUAAAUAAUGCGAAUUGCAGAAUUCAGUGAGUCAUCGAGUUUUUGAACGCACAUUGCGCCCUCUGGAAUUCCAGAGGGCAUACCUGUUCGAGCGUCAUUG